RNAcentral lists this unclassified non-coding RNA (352 nucleotides) under soil metagenome. Its description in RNAcentral is "partial contains 5.8S ribosomal RNA, internal transcribed spacer 2, and large subunit ribosomal RNA". The stretch from base 1 to 120 matches the Rfam family "5.8S ribosomal RNA", at positions 35 to 154 of the family's 154-position model. The record is from RNAcentral.
GAUGAAGAACGGAGCGAAAUGCGAUAAGUAAUGUGAAUUGCAGAAUUCAGUGAAUCAUCGAAUCUUUGAACGCACAUUGCGCCCGCCAGUAUUCUGGCGGGCAUGCCUGUUCGAGCGUCAUUACAACCCUCAGGCCCCCGGGCCUGGCGUUGGGGAUCGGCGGAAGCCCCCUGUGGGCACACGCCGUCCCUCAAAUACAGUGGCGGUCCCGCCGCAGCUUCCAUUGCGUAGUAGCUAACACCUCGCAACUGGAGAGCGGCGCGGCCAUGCCGUAAAACACCCAACUUCUGAAUGUUGACCUCGAAUCAGGAAGGAAUACCCGCUGAACUUAAGCAUAUCAAUAAGCGGAGGA